CAAGCCCCAAUAGUGAUCCCAAUUCCUUAUUUUACCUUACAACGUCAAUAGUUUUCCAACUUUCAAUUCGAAAUAUUUCUUGAUACAAUUUCCAAAAGUUGUUGAAAUCAAAUUGUUAGUGGAUUAAAUAGAAUUGGGGGGAAGGGAUUUCCGACAGACGAUCAUCUCGAAAGGUUAGUAAGUGUUUGUGUAAAAACGGGAUUUUUAUGUUGAUUGUUAGUUGUACUCAAUUUUAUUCUAAUCGAUUGUUGUGAAUAAUGUGAUUUAAUCCUCAGAAUUUAUUAUUAUUCCUUUUUCCCCAAAAAAAUGUUGUUUCUUGACGGUAUUCUUUCUUACCCAACAGCGAUAUUUCUUGACAAUGUCUCUCUUGAAUUUUUGAUUUGGUUGCUUAUGAUUUUCCCCUUGACUAAACCCUAAUUAUUAUCGCACCGUAGAUUUUUGUUUAUUUUGUUGCUUACAGAUAUUACAACCAUUGCUUUGGUUAGUGGAUUGUUGUUUAAUUUUGGCGUUUAUUUAUUUAUUGUUAUUAUUGUUUCCUUCUAAUUGUAUUUACGGAAUGUACGGAUUUUGUAUGUUUUAUUUCAAUUGAUUUUUAUUUUUCUUCUUCGUUAUUUGAUAUGUAUUUUUUUUUAAUGAUUAUUGAUAUUUUGACUUCUACUACUUAUGUAAAAAAUGAAAUUGAUUUUUGAUUUUCUGUGUUAUGUAUUUUAGAUAAAAAUAAAUAAAUAAAAAUUUUUUUUUUUUUGAUUUUGAAAUGGUUACCUUAUACUGUAAAAAAUUAGUUUCUUUUAUUUAUUUAAUUCACAACUUCAAUUAUCUAUUUCUGUUUGUGAAUAUGGGUCUGCGACCAAAGUAAUACAUUGUGUGGGACAUAUUAUGUGAAAUUAACUACUUCCAAUUCUCAUGGUAGGAAGUAAAAAAAAGCCAUUUGUUUGCUCAUUGUUGGGCCCACAAUAAUAUUUCAUAUUUGCUUCUAAAUAAUGUGCAGUGUGUUGUUCAGUCCAACACUUCUGGUUGCUGAUAAUCAAUCUUCAAAUCUAAUCUGCUCCCCACUUCAGCACUUACAGUUCUCCGUUAUGGCUGCUGUCGAUAACACUGUGCAGAGGAGCAUAAAGUUCAAAAUCACAUCAAAAGGAAUACGGCGUGAAUUAGAAGACAAGUCAAGUGGUGACAUGAUGAUGAUAGUGAAUAAUAAACGUAGAGAUGGAGUUAAUGGAAAUGGAAAAUCCAUUCCAGUCAAAUAUACGAAGUCAGGCAACUCUAACAAGCGUAAACCCGGAGUGAUCCUUGAGUGUCAUAGGGAGAAAAAGCAGAGGACAGAACAAAAUUUCAAGGAGCAGUAUAGUAAAAUUUUGAGAUCGUUGAUGAGGCACCCUCACGGGUUUGCUUUCAAUCAACCAAUUGAUCCUAUGAAGCUGAAGAUUCCAGAUUAUUUUUCAAUAAUCACUGAGCCAAUGGAUUUGGGAAAGAUCAAGUGUAAACUGGAGGAAAAUAGAUACUUUGAUGCAGAGGAAUUUGCUAGGGACGUGAGGCUGACUUUUUCCAAUGCAAUGGUGUACAAUCCUCCUGGGAACUAUGUCUAUAACUUCGCGAAAGAAUUAAAUGAUCUCUUCAGUAAGAGAUGGAAUUUAUUGAAGACUAAAUUGAAUGUGAUCGUCAAAGGAACAUCACUAGAGCUGGAAAGAGCAAUAAAGGUUUCUUUGGAAGUAACAGAAGGAAAGGUGAGUAAAUGUAAUGGUGUAUACAAUCUGGUUGUGUCUAUUGGUGUGAUGCUUUCUUCCUUUAUCAAUUUUGCACAGUACUGUUUUCUAAUUGUCACAAUGUUGUCAUGCACUUGCUUCGUUUGCUCUAUCCUUAGUUUGCUGCUCCUUGUUAGUGGUUACUAGACCUUUCUUUACAUAAAUUGUUGAUUCUGUAUGUUUUCCUGAACAGGCGAAGCCUUCGAGAACAGCACAAAGUGGGCGCCCCAAACUAGUGAAAACUUUUCAUAAAGGUUAGAGACGUGACAGAAUAAGUUUGUGCGUUCUGGUUCUUUACAUGACUGAUUGGCCAUGUAUCUUGUAUGCAGAUAAUGGAAAUCAAGCAUUUGCUACUUCCAAUAGAAAACAACCAUUUGAUUUCCCUGCAGUCAAAUGUGCUGCAUGUGGUAGUCUGACGUGCCAAUGCAGCCUCAGAUGUUCUGUUAAGCCAUCUUCCAAUGGUGAUUUAAAUUCUUAUAACAACUUGUUAAUAUGUUGCAUUUGUGUUCAUGUCAACUAAUUUGGAGUAUAUUGCAUCUUGUUUCAGAUUUUUCUUCAAAAAGAUUAUUUGAUCGUGAUCACUCCGAUGAUUCUAAACUGGUAAAUUUUAGACUCUUCUCGUUUCACCAAAUAAUU
RNAcentral lists this long non-coding RNA (2375 nucleotides) under Olea europaea subsp. europaea. The record is from RNAcentral. Lineage: Eukaryota; Viridiplantae; Streptophyta; Magnoliopsida; Lamiales; Oleaceae.